Molecule: transfer RNA, 67 nt
Filed under: Panulirus polyphagus
Lineage: Eukaryota; Metazoa; Arthropoda; Malacostraca; Decapoda; Palinuridae
Description: tRNA-Lys
Source: RNAcentral
CACCCGAUGACUGAUAAAAGUGUAGGUCUUUUAAACCUAUCAUGGUACCUAAAUACCUCAGGUGGCC